UGACGGUACCACUUGAAUAAGCUCCGGCUAACUACGUGCCAGCAGCCGCGGUAAUACGUAGGGAGCAAGCGUUAUCCGGAUUUACUGGGUGUAAAGGGCGUGUAGGCGGGACUACAAGUCAGAUGUGAAAGCACGGGGCUCAACUCCGUGUCUGCAUUUGAAACUGACGUUCUUGAGUGUUGGAGAGGCUAACGGAACUCCUAGUGUAGCGGUGAAAUGCGUAGAUAUUAGGAAGAACACCAGUGGCGAAGGCGGUUAGCUGGACAAUAACUGACGCUGAGGCGCGAAAGCGUGGGUAGCAAACAGGAUUAGAUACCCUG
This 320-nucleotide ribosomal RNA is filed under the name uncultured bacterium. RNAcentral describes it as "bacterial SSU rRNA". It matches the Rfam family "Bacterial small subunit ribosomal RNA", at positions 470 to 789 of the family's 1533-position model. The record is from RNAcentral.